AUGGCAUUUCCCCAUCCUGGGAAUCACAGGGGACACUUUGGAAGUGGGGACAGCCUGGGGACGUGGUGCUGGCACAGCUCGGUGCCCCAGGGGCACUGCAUGUCCUGCGGGGCGCAGCGUGGCUGGCAGCCGGGUGUCCCCACACGCAGCACCUUGAUGUGCCCGGUGGCACGGAGGGGAUGGGACGGGGGGGGGACCAUGCAGCAGUGGGGUCGGGCUGUCCCCAGGCGUGCUGCGUCCCCCUGCUGCGCCCCGGUGCUGUGCCCGGGGCUCGGUGCAGCCCCCACAACGCACCCCAGCGUGGUACCCCAGGCGUUGCAGUGGGUCUGCAGCCAGGUGUGGUGCCCCCCAGCACAGCACCCAUACCUGGUGCCCCCCAGCGCUGCGCCCAGCUGUCCCUGCGCUCUGGCACUGCUCCCCUGGGUGCUGCCGCCUGUGGCAGGGUCCCCAAGCCGGCAGCUGCAGGAGCAGGGCCCAGGACUUUCCUCCGCUCCCCUGGGUGUGUUCGUGCCGCCUGCUGAGGGACCCCAACGUCCCUCCAGGAGUGGGGACAGGCAGCUGGCCAGGCUGGGGGCCCCGUGUGCCGCCCCGGCGGUGGCACCAAGCGCUGCCCGCCCGUCGGAGCACGCCGUGUGCCAGCACCCGCCCGUGCCCCCCUGGCAGCCCCUCACACCGCCCGUCUGUGCCCGCCGCAGGUCUGGUCCAUUUCGAGAUCCCGUCCAUCCACCUCGGCGUCGAUGCCGCCCUGUGCCGGGACCCGCCGGACGCCGCGCAGAGACUGUCGGUGAAAGCCCCCCCGGAGGAGGAGGAGGACUCGGAGAGCACGGCCCUAUGACAGCGUCCCCUCCCCGCCCGUCCCCGCGGCACCCGGCCAGUGCUCGGGGGACUUGGUUGCUCCUUGGUUGGGUUGGGUUGGGUUGGGGUCGCCUUAUCCAGACUUUGCCUUGUGACUCGGUGCCUAUGUCCCCCCCGGCAGGCGCCCACGUCCCGGGGCGCAUCCGGCGUCCCCGCGGUGCCACCGGGGCUGGAGAGGUGCCAGCGGCCCCGUCCUCCCCCCAAAACAGGGCACGGGGGGCACCACACGGGUGGCGUUGCUCCGGGGUCUCGUCUCUUUGCUUCGGCCCCGCCGUGCGCUCGCUGUGGCCGAGCGGGGCUGGGGGAGGCCGGCCCAGCAGCAAUAAGGCGAGUGCUGGGGGGGGGACGCGUCCCCGUGCCCCGCCUGCAGCCCCCGCUCGCUGUCGUGGUGGGUUGGUGGCGUGGAGCAGAGGCUUUGGUUGUGCAUGCAGAGACAAAGUAACCUUUUAUCCUUUUCAGAGAGAUGGUAUAUAUAUAUAUCUGGUGGGCAUAGAUAUAUAUAUAUUAUAUAUUUGUACAUAG
Molecule: long non-coding RNA, 1377 nt
Filed under: Anas platyrhynchos platyrhynchos (common mallard)
Lineage: Eukaryota; Metazoa; Chordata; Aves; Anseriformes; Anatidae
Description: lncRNA (ENSAPLG00000028564.1)
Source: RNAcentral